Molecule: ribosomal RNA, 372 nt
Filed under: uncultured organism
Description: partial 16S ribosomal RNA
Rfam family: Bacterial small subunit ribosomal RNA
Source: RNAcentral
GUAGGUGGCAAGCGUUGUCCGGAAUUAUUGGGCGUAAAGCGCGCGCAGGCGGUCCUUUAAGUCUGAUGUGAAAGCCCACGGCUCAACCGUGGAGGGUCAUUGGAAACUGGGGGACUUGAGUACAGAAGAGGAAAGCGGAAUUCCAAGUGUAGCGGUGAAAUGCGUAGAGAUUCGGAGGAACACCAGUGGCGAAGGCGGCUUUCUGGUCUGUAACUGACGCUGAGGCGCGAAAGCGUGGGGAGCAAACAGGGAUUAGAUACCCUGGUAGUCCACGCCGUAAACGAUGAGUGCUAAGUGUUAGGGGGUUUCCCGCCCCUUAGUGCUGCAGCUAACGCAUUAAGCACUCCGCCUGGGGAUACGGCCGCAAGGCUG